AGGUCUUUAGCUCAAUUGGUAGAGUAGUGGUCUCCAAAACCAUUGGUUGCAGGUUCAAGUCCUGCAAGGCCUG
Molecule: transfer RNA, 73 nt
Filed under: Spirochaetota bacterium
Lineage: Bacteria; Pseudomonadati; Spirochaetota
Description: Spirochaetes bacterium (wastewater metagenome) tRNA-Trp
Rfam family: tRNA
About the family: Transfer RNA (tRNA) molecules are approximately 80 nucleotides in length.
Source: RNAcentral